RNAcentral lists this long non-coding RNA (1084 nucleotides) under Cyanistes caeruleus (blue tit). Its description in RNAcentral is "lncRNA (ENSCCEG00000004115.1)". Lineage: Eukaryota; Metazoa; Chordata; Aves; Passeriformes; Paridae. The record is from RNAcentral.
CUUAUUUCUGGGAUUUUUUUUUCUGGGAAUUUUUUCCUUCUGGGAUUUUUUUUUUUUCCAGGAUUUUUUUUUCCCUUUUUUUUUCUCCCAUUUUUUUUCCUGUAAAUUCUUUUUCUGGGGAUUUUUCUUUUUCCAGGAAUUUUUUUUCCAGAUUUUUUUUCCCCUUUUUUUUUCCUUUUCCAGGCAUUUUUUUUUCCUGUGAAUUUUUAUUUCUGGGAUUUUUUUUCUGGGAAUUUUUCCAGGAAUUUUUUUUCCAGAUUUUUUUUCCCAUUUUUUCCCCAUUUUUUUUCCUUUUCCAGGAAUUUUUUUCCCAGGAAUUUUCCCCAUUUUUCCCCCAUUUCCUUUCCCCCCAAAUUUUUUAUUUUAUUUUUUUUUUUUUCCUUUUCCAGGUUUUUUCUUUUUCUGGGAAUUUUUUCUCCGGGAUUUUUUUUUUAUACACAAUUUUCCUCCACCCUCUUUCUUUUUCUUCCAAGAAUUCCACGUUUUUCCCGAGAAUUCCUCCUUUUUUCCUGGGAAUUUUGUGUUUUUUCCUGGGAAUUUCAGGGAAAUUCCACAUUUUUUCCCACCAAGAAUUCCACGUUUUUCCCGAGAAUUCCUCCUUUUUUCCUGGGAAUUUUGUGUUUUUUCCUGGGAAUUUCAGGGAAAUUCCACAUUUUUUCCCAAAAAUUCCACAUUUUUCCCAAAAAUUCCACAUUUUUCCCAAAAAUUCCACAUUUUCUCCCAAGAAUUCCAUGUUUUUCCUGGGAACUCUGUAUUUUUUCCUGGGAAUUCCAUGGUUUUUCCCAAGAAUUCCAUAUUUUUCCCAAAAAUUCUGCGUCUUUUCCUGAGAAAUCCGAGUUUUUCCUGGGAAUUCAAUGGUUUUCCAAAAAAAUUCUGCAUUUUUUCCCAAAAUUUCCACAUUUUUCCCAAAAAUUCCACAUUUUCUCCCAAAAACUCCACAUUUUUUCCCAAAAAAUUCCACAUUUUUCCCAAAAAUUCCACAUUUUUUCCCAAAAAUUCCACAUUUUCUCCCAAGAAUUCCACGUUUUUCCCGAGAAUUCCUCCUUUUUUCCUGGGAAUUCCAUGUUUUUUCCUGGGAAUUUCA